This is a long non-coding RNA of Gastrolobium bilobum, 271 nucleotides long. RefSeq lists it as uncharacterized. NCBI's taxonomy places the organism in Eukaryota, Viridiplantae, Streptophyta, Magnoliopsida, Fabales, Fabaceae. The record is from RefSeq and is a predicted model, not a curated record. The transcript has 3 exons.
CCUCUAUUGUGUGAUCAUUGGUGGAUUGAGGCAAGAGGACCAAGUGGAGUGACCAACCCUUGGGGUUGUGUGCAAUUGAGGAAAGCUCAAAGAGCAAGGUACUGAUAGAGGUGAGGUUGAUCGAGGCAAGAAGCGUGAGUAGACUGUACCUGAUAGCUGGACAUGUUGAGUUGCAUGCCAUUUAGCAUUGCUAUAUGUAUAUUUUGAUGCCACAUGAUGUAUUUUGGAGGACUUAGUGCAUGAUCAUUGUAGUAGUAAUGGGUAUCUGAUA